GUGCCAGCAGCCGCGGUAAUUCCAGCUCCAAUAGCGUAUAUUAAAGUUGUUGUGGUUAAAAAGCUCGUAGUUGAACCUUGGGCCUGGCUGGCCGGUCCGCCUCACCGCGUGCACUGGUCCGGCCGGGCCUUUCCCUCUGUGGAACCCCAUACCCUUCACUGGGCGUGGCGGGGAAACAGGACAUUUACUUUGAAAAAAUUAGAGUGCUCCAGGCAGGCCUAUGCUCGAAUACAUUAGCAUGGAAUAAUAAAAUAGGACGCGCGGUUCUAUUUUGUUGGUUUAUAGGACCGCCGUAAUGAUUAAUAGGGACAGUCGGGGGCAUCAGUAUUCAACUGUCAGAGGUGAAAUUCUUGGAUCAGUUGAAGACAAACUACUGCGAAAGCAUUUGCCAAGGAUGUUUUCAUUAAUCAGGAACGAAAGUUAGGGGAUCGAAGACGAUCAGAUACCGUCGUAGUCUUAACCAUAAACUAUGCCGACUAGGGAUCGGACGGUGUUAUUCAUGACCCGUUCGGCACCUUACGAGAAAUCAAAGUGCUUGGGCUCCAGGGGGAGUAUGGUCGCAAGGCUGAAACUUAAAGAAAUUGACGGAAGGGCACCACCAGGGGUGGAGCCUGCGGCUUAAUUUGACUCAACACGGGGCAAACUCAUCAGGUCCAGACACAAUAAGGGAUUGACAGAUUGAGAGCUCUUUUCUUGAUUUUGUGGGUGGUGAUGCAUGGCCGUUCUUAGUGGUGGGGUGACUUGUCUGCUUAAUUGCGAUAACGAACGAGACUCUUAACCUGCUAAAAUAGCUCCGCAUUGCUCCGGGCAGUU
RNAcentral lists this ribosomal RNA (813 nucleotides) under uncultured fungus. RNAcentral's name for it is "SSU rRNA". It matches the Rfam family "Eukaryotic small subunit ribosomal RNA", at positions 564 to 1381 of the family's 1831-position model. The record is from RNAcentral. Lineage: Eukaryota; Fungi.